Molecule: ribosomal RNA, 408 nt
Filed under: uncultured bacterium
Lineage: Bacteria
Description: partial 16S ribosomal RNA
Rfam family: Bacterial small subunit ribosomal RNA
Source: RNAcentral
GACGAACGCUGGCGGCGUGCUUAACACAUGCAAGUCGAACGAAGUGGCGAACGGGUGAGUAACGCGUAAUCAACCUGCCCUUCAGAGGGGGACAACAGUUGGAAACGACUGCUAAUACCGCAUACUGAAGGAGGGGAUUGCGUCUGAUUAGCUAGUUGGAGGGGUAACGGCCGACCAAGGCGAUGAUCAGUAGCCGGGCUUGGUUGAUGAACGGCUACAUUGGGAUGGAGAAACGGCCCAGACUCCUACGGGAGGCAGCAGUGGGGAUUCUUCCGCAAUGGACGAAAGUCUGACGGAGCAACGCCGGGGGAGUGGUGACGGCUUUCGGGUUUUAAAGCUCUGUUAAUCGGGACGCGGUACCUGAAUAGAAAGCCACGGCUAACUACGUGCCAGCAGCCGCGGUAAUUC